Molecule: ribosomal RNA, 253 nt
Filed under: uncultured bacterium
Lineage: Bacteria
Description: partial 16S ribosomal RNA
Rfam family: Bacterial small subunit ribosomal RNA
Source: RNAcentral
UACGAAGGUGGCAAGCGUUGUUCGGAUUUACUGGGCGUACAGGGAGCGUAGGCGGUUGGGUAAGCCCUCCGUGAAAUCUCCGGGCCUAACCCGGAAAGUGCGGAGGGGACUGCUCGGCUAGAGGAUGGGAGAGGAGCGCGGAAUUCCCGGUGUAGCGGUGAAAUGCGUAGAUAUCGGGAGGAAGGCCGGUGGCGAAGGCGGCGCUCUGGAACAUUGCUGACGCUGAGGCUCGAAAGAGUGGGGAGCAAACAGG